UGCGCAGGCGGGACUGCAAGUUGGAUGUGAAAUACCGGGGCUUAACCCCGGGACUGCAUCCAAAACUGUGGUUCUUGAGUGGAGUAGAGGUAAGCGGAAUUCCGAGUGUAGCGGUGAAAUGCGUAGAUAUUCGGAGGAACACCAGUGGCGAAGGCGGCUUACUGGGCUCUAACUGACGCUGAGGCACGAAAGCAUGGGUAGCAAACA
This 207-nucleotide ribosomal RNA is filed under the name uncultured bacterium. Its description in RNAcentral is "partial 16S ribosomal RNA". It matches the Rfam family "Bacterial small subunit ribosomal RNA", at positions 568 to 774 of the family's 1533-position model. The record is from RNAcentral.